CAGUAGCCGCGGUAAUACGAAGGGGGCUAGCGUUGCUCGGAAUGACUGGGCGUAAAGGGCGCGUAGGCGGAUUGUUUAGUUAGGCGUGAAAUUCCUGGGCUUAACCUGGGGACAGCGCUUAAUACAGGCAGUCUAGAGUGAGGAAGAGGGUUGUGGAAUUCCCAGUGUAGAGGCGAAAUUCGUAGAUAUUGGGAAGAACACCGGUGGCGAAGGCGGCCAACUGGACUGGUAUUGACGCUGAUGCACGAAAGCUAGGGGAGCAAACAGGAUUAGAUACCCGCGUAGUCCCUGUCUCUUAUAC
RNAcentral lists this ribosomal RNA (301 nucleotides) under uncultured bacterium. Its description in RNAcentral is "partial 16S ribosomal RNA". It matches the Rfam family "Bacterial small subunit ribosomal RNA", at positions 509 to 807 of the family's 1533-position model. The record is from RNAcentral.